This 1394-nucleotide ribosomal RNA is filed under the name uncultured Ruminococcus sp. RNAcentral describes it as "bacterial SSU rRNA". It matches the Rfam family "Bacterial small subunit ribosomal RNA". The record is from RNAcentral. Lineage: Bacteria; Bacillati; Bacillota; Clostridia; Eubacteriales; Oscillospiraceae.
GUUUGAUCCUGGCUCAGGACGAACGCUGGCGGCGCGCCUAACACAUGCAAGUCGAACGGGAACUGUCCGGAGCUUGCUUCGGACGGUUUCAGUGGCGGACGGGUGAGUAACGCGUGAGGAACCUGCCUUUCAGAGGGGGAUAACGUCCGGAAACGGACGCUAAUACCGCAUGGCAUCCCGGGAUCACAUGGUUCUGGGAUCAAAGGAGCAAUCCGCUGGAAGAUGGACUCGCGUCCGAUUAGCCGGUUGGUGAGGUAACGGCCCACCAAAGCUGCGAUCGGUAGCCGGACUGAGAGGUUGAACGGCCACAUUGGGACUGAGACACGGCCCAGACUCCUACGGGAGGCAGCAGUGGGGGACCUUGCACAAUGGAGGGAACUCUGAUGCAGCGACGCCGCGUGAGGGAAGACGGUUUUCGGAUUGUAAACCUCUGUCCCCGGUGACGAUAAUGACGGUAGCCGAGGAGGAAGCUCCGGCUAACUACGUGCCAGCAGCCGCGGUAAUACGUAGGGAGCGAGCGUUGUCCGGAUUUACUGGGUGUAAAGGGUGCGUAGGCGGCUGAACAAGUCAGGUGUGAAAACCAUCGGCUCAACUGAUGGAUUGCACUUGAAACUGUGCAGCUUGAGUGAAGCAGAGGCAGGCGGAAUUCCCGGUGUAGCGGUGAAAUGCGUAGAGAUCGGGAGGAACACCAGUGGCGAAGGCGGCCUGCUGGGCUUUAACUGACGCUGAGGCACGAAAGCAUGGGUAGCAAACAGGAUUAGAUACCCUGGUAGUCCAUGCCGUAAACGAUGAUUACUAGGUGUGGGUGGUCUGACCCCAUCCGUGCCGGAGUUAACACAAUAAGUAAUCCACCUGGGGAGUACGGCCGCAAGGUUGAAACUCAAAGGAAUUGACGGGGGCCCGCACAAGCAGUGGGAGUAUGUGGUUUAAUUCGAAGCAACGCGAAGAACCUUACCAGGUCUUGACAUCUGCCCGGAUCCCGCGGAGACGCGGGGGUUGCCCUUUCGGGGAGCGGCAAGACAGGUGGUUGCAUGGUUGUCGUCAGCUCGUUGUUCGUGAGAUUGUUUGGGUUUAAGUUCCCGCAACGAGCGCAGCCCCUUUGUUGAUUAGUUGCUGCGCAAGAGCACUCUAAUCAGACUGCCGUUGACAAAACGGAGGAAGGUGGGGAUGGCGUCAAAUCAUCAUGCCCCUUAUGACCUGGGCUACACACGUACUACAAUGGCCGCGCACAGAGGGAAGCGAAACCGCGAGGCGGAGCGAACCCCCAAAAACGGUCUCAGUUCGGAUCGCAGGCUGCAACCCGCCUGCGUGAAGCUGGAAUUGCUAGUAAUCGCGGAUCAUCAUGCCGCGGUGAAUACGUUCCCGGGCCUUGUACACACCGCCCGUCACACCAU